Molecule: RNA transcript, 8688 nt
Organism: Aedes albopictus (Asian tiger mosquito)
Lineage: Eukaryota; Metazoa; Arthropoda; Insecta; Diptera; Culicidae
Exons: 2
Source: RefSeq, a predicted model, not a curated record
GUCUUGCCCGGGAUUUCCCGGGACAAAAAUCCCGGGAUAUCCCGGGAUCUGAAAAAUCCCGAAUCCCGGGAUAUGUUACCUGAAUUCCCGGGAUUUCCCGAAAAUUUGAAAAAUGGCAAAAGUGCGGCGUCUGAAAACAUAACUAUUCACUUUAAAUUUUGUUAAUCAAUGUUGUAUUCGAUUCUACAUUACCUAACAAGUGCACUGGCCAUCUUUUUUUUUUUUUUAAACAGAAAUCAAGUUUUGGUAGAGAUUUUUAAAAAUAAACAUACAUAUUUUUUGGUAAAAUAUCAGAAUGUGUAUUUUCUAGAUUUAUUGAUAAUAAUUGGGCUGUUCUGGUAGUAUUCGUGGAAUUAAUAUAAUGAUUCAUUGCAUUGUUUUCAGUAUUAGAGUUUGUUGAAAUUUUUUUCACGAAAUAUAUGUAUUUUUUUUUUAUCUGUAAUAAUGAGAUUUUUUGCCCUAGGUUAGCUCAUCUCGGGACCCACGCUUUCCGAGUAAUAACUCAGGUGUGAUAGUCAGGUGCUUCAACCAUCACACCAAGUCCGUUCCAUAUGUGUAAUAUUUUCAAACGGAACUAUUGCAGAAUUAUCUAGGGAUAUCUUGAAUCCUUGUAGCCAUUUCUGACAGACCUAUUCAGGAAGUCUGAUGCUUAAGAAGGGUGUAUUACUAAAGUGCUACAUUACACCUUUUCUUAUUAUCUGGAUAAUUUUUUAAGAAUAAUCCAUUCAUGUUUUCAUGAGCAAUUACUUGGCACAUUUUCAGAAUACAUUCGAUACGCGCGAGAUAGUCGCCUAGGAAAACAGACUUGUUUUCAAAUUUUCAAUCAUAGCGCUCUUUGAUAAUUGUUGAAAAAAGGUCGCCACAUAGCCAGGUGAUGUGUUGAGUACUGCGACCGCACGUGACAUUUGCAUUGCGAUUGAAUUUGGUUCACCAUUGAGGGCCCUGGAAAAUAGUCAUCAUAGUUGUCCUUUUCAUGCAACGCACAAUAAUUUCCUCUAGGAAUAUAAAUCGCCAGCAGUUAACAAAAUUUCCACCUUGGACUGAUGUAUGUCCUACACUCUUAAAAUGUUCAAGAUUUUGAGUUUUGCUCUAGAAAUUUCAUCGUCAAAAAAGUUCCAGCUACGCAAAUAUCUAAAUCAUUUUUUCCUUUGAAGAAUAAAUAUGGGGCGGAUGCAUAGCCUAAGUAAUAAUAAAAAAACAAUGUGUUGCCUCUGGGCACACUGCUCCGAAUCAAACGAACGGAGUGUCGUCGACGCUUAACGAUGGCCUUGACAGGUCAAAAGCAGAUGAGGUCGAUGACGAGGCAAAAGCAUUGAAACCGGCAUGCAGAGAAGACUAGGAGCUAUAGUUAAACGUGAAAUUGCCUCAAAAGAUCAAAAUUAUUAAAUCCUAAUGAUUGAAUUUGAUAUUCUAUCUAGCCUAAAGUGAAUUCGUUAUCCUACAUUAAUCAAACAGUGAGCUCGAGAAUUUGUUAUACUAGUUGGUAAUGAAAUACUAAUUGAAAUCGCAUUUCUAUAAAAUAGGUUAGAAUCUGCAAGUUAGAGUUCUACAUAUUGAAGUCGUGAACUACUAUUACUUUAUUCAAUUAGGUAAAGUGCUAGGUAAAAAUAAUCAUGCAAAUAGUUCUAGAUUAGCUAACGAUACUUUGAUUGCAGUUAAAGCUAAUCCAAUUAGUUGUGUCGGGCAAGGAGGCUGCAAAAACUCCGCCAGUACACCGAAAGUGUAAGUCGCAGUGUAAUUGUAGGCAAACGCUAUAUUCUAAUAAAUUAAUCUUAUUGCAGUUUAAAGCUGCGCUAAACCCAAGUACUGCGUGACGCUGCUAACAGCCCGGUGACAGCAUACCCUUGCCCUCUUACAACACAUCUUUAAAACUUUCGAUAUGAGUACUCAAUCGAAGAAUAAGCUCCUGAUAUCGUCGGAUCCAAUACGAGAGGGAGGCUGCGUCAGCUGUUCGCGCCCCGAUUCGUACGACGAUUUCGUACAGUGUGACCAGUGUGACAGCUGGUGGCACAUGCGCUGUGCGGGAGUCACAAAAUCAAUAUCGCAGCGGCCGUGGACCUGCCGCACUUGCCUACCAUUAAGCGUAGCAUCCAGCAGCAGCUCAGCUCGUAUUUCGCUCCGGCUGAAACAAAUCGAGGAAGAGCGCGCUAUACAGCAGCGCGAAUGGGAGGCAGAAAAACGAGCUCUCGAGAACGAGAGAAAGGCCAUGCAGGAGAAAUAUAAACUGCUGGAGGAUCAGCUCGCUGAAAGAGAAAACGCCACCCGGCGUAGCCAAGUUAGCCGACCAUCGAGCAUGAGGCGUGUUAGUGCUUGGGUCGAAAAUCUUGUCGAAAGCCAGGAAGUCGAGGGUGCAGUUGGUGGAGUGGUCAUCGGCGUAGCGUCAGAAGCAGACCAAGAUGUUCUACGUGAAGAAGCCGAAGAAGCAACGCCGUCAACCGUCGGCCGCACCGCUGACGUCAUUCAACGAUCGGAGAAGCCGGUGCACCCGAAUCAACUGAACGUCCCCAUGCAACUAGUCUCUUCUGACUCGUCGCCCCAGGAUGGAAAUCAGCAGCAAAACAAAGGCGCGAUUCCAAAAAUAGUUCCGAAUAGUUGUGAACCGAUCCGCGAUGGUAAUGUAUGGACAGCUAAAGGUAAUUUCACAUCCUCUGUACCCCCCGUACUACAUCCAGGUAAGCCAACCAUUGUUCCAAAGCCAAAAGAUAAAAUUUCCGCUCAAACGAGCGACGAUGCAUAUAAAGAUUUGCUAGCAAAAUUAGGGUCAAUUGGUGUGUCUCCUAUUGUCCAGAGCGCACCACAAGUUUUUGCAACAGAGCCCAUAAUACAAGGGCAUGUUUACCCUACCGUUCCGCUUCCUUUAACCAUGGGAGAGAACGAAUCUUGCAUUGCUCAUAGAGCAAAUACAGAUCCACAUGUUACUAACAUGCAGUCAAUCGCGCCUUCCCCGUCAAUAGUACCCAACGUAACCGAGCAAGCCCCUUCCCCCUCGCAGUUAGCCGCGCGUCAGGUAAUGCCUCGCGACUUACCGAUGUUCUCCGGUGAUCCCGCGGAGUGGCCUAUCUUCAUAAGUGCGUUCGAAAAUACUACCGUCGCGUGUGGCUAUUCUAAAGUGGAAAACCUUGCGAGACUUCAACGGUGCUUGAAAGGUGCAGCAUACGAAUCUGUUCGAAGCCGUCUCUUGUUACCAGAAUCAGUACCACAAGUGUUAAGUACUCUGCGUCUUUUGUACGGCCGACCGGAACUGCUUAUUAAUGUUCUUUUAAACAAACUGCGGUCAACCCCAGCGCCGAGAUCUGACAAACUAGAGACGCUCAUCGAGUUUGGUCUGGCUGUGCAGAGUUUGUGUGACCAUCUUGUAGCAGCAGGACAGCAGCCUCAUCUGACGAAUCCCUACUUGUUGAUGGAGUUGGUGGACAAGCUACCUGCGCACGUGAAAAUGGAUUGGGCGAGUUACAUGCAGAGAUAUCCCGAGGUGAACCUGAAGACCUUCAGCAACUUCAUGGAGGGCAUCAUGGUCGCGGCGAGCAAAGUUACGCUGUACACGAGUAGUUGCACCGAAAAAACAAAACCCAAACCCAGGACAUCUAUCAACACCCAUUUCAACGAACAGGAAUGGCCAAAGGACGAUGAAAGGAUUUGCUGCAUCUGUAAAAAUCGUGGACAUCGCGUUCGGGAAUGUGAUGCUUUCAAAGCGCUAUCCAUCAAUGAUCGCUGGAAAACAGUGCAAUUUCAUGAACUAUGUAGAAGUUGUCUUUGUGCCCACGGCAAAAGAAGUUGCCGAAAUGCUGCUCAGUGCGGUAUCAAUGGGUGUACCUUUCGUCAUCAUCCCCUGCUCCAUUCAAACCGAAGCGAGCCAGCUCCGCGUGAAGUAGAGACGCAGAACGUAGAAGCGGCGGGAAACCACACUCAUCGCCUGCUGAAUCAGUCACUACUGUUCCGAGUCAUUCCAGUGACGCUUUAUGGACCUCGAAAGGCAGUGACAACCUUUGCCUUCCUCGACGAUGGAUCACAGCUGACACUUAUCGACGAAGAACUUACUCGAGAACUUGGCGUUGAUGGUAGGAGUGUUCCGUUGUGCAUCACUUGGACCGGGAAUGUGUCCAGGAUGGAAGAAAAUUCGAAGCAGCUGCGGCUAGAUAUAUCUGGCGUGGAUAAGGGAAAACGUCUGAAUCUCGACGACGUGCGCACCGUGAAAAAACUGGCCCUGCCAGGUCAGACGCUUCGUCUAGACGACCUCAGAGACAGAUUUCCAUAUCUCAAUGGCUUACCAAUUUCAGGCUAUGAGAACGCUUUGCCACGUCUACUCAUUGGAGUCAACAAUCUGCACUUAACCGUCCCGCUGAAAGUUAAGGAAGGAAGUUUCAAUGAGCCGGUAGCUACUAAGACGCGGCUCGGGUGGUGCAUCUAUGGAGGAAAUGGCUCCUCCACGUCAAAUUCAGUCAACGUCCAUGCUUGUGAGUGCAACUGUGAUCGCAAUCUUCAUGAUCUGAUAAAGGAUUAUUUUAUCUUGGAGGAUGCCGGUGCAACAUCGACGAGUGAACCAGUUUCGGCCGAAAAUAAAAGAGCACAGGAACUUCUGCAGCAAACCACGGUCCGAGUCGGCGAUAGGUUCGAAACCGGGUUAUUGUGGAGAGAAGAGGAAAUCGAGUUUCCCGAAAGCUACGGAGCUGCGGUGCGAAGAUUGGAGUGUUUGGAGAGACGCAUGAAGAAGAAUCCGUCUUUAAAAGAUAACCUGGAACGUCAAAUCAACGAAUAUCAACAGAAGGGUUAUGCUCACCGUGCCAGCGAAAAGGAGUUACGAUCGGCAGACUUAAGAAGGGUCUGGUAUCUUCCUCUCGGAGCCGUAGUCAAUCCAAAGAAGCCGGAAAAGGUGCGUCUCAUUUGGGACGCGGCUGCUACGGUGAAUGGGGUAUCCCUCAAUUCCCUUCUGCUUAAAGGUCCGGAUCAGCUGACUUCGUUGUUAGCGGUUUUGGUACGUUUCCGGCAAUAUUCGGUAGCAGUCUCAGCGGAUAUUAAGGAGAUGUUUCAUCAGGUUAGAAUCCGUGAAGCCGAUCGUCAAUCCCAGCGAUUCUUGUGGCGAAACGAACCAUCAAGCAGUCCAGAUAUUUUUAUCAUGGACGUUGCAACGUUUGGAUCAACGUGCUCACCGGCCUCUGCACAAUAUGUGAAGAACAGGAAUGCAACGGAAUACGCGGAAGAAUUUCCAAGAGCUGCAGAGGAAAUCAUUCACAACCAUUACGUGGAUGAUUAUUUGGCAAGCUUCGAGACGGAGGCGGAUGCAGCAGAAACUGCGGAACAAGUAAAGUUUAUUCACAUCCAAGGUGGUUUCGAACUUACGAACUGGAACUCCAACAGUACUAUAGUACUGCAUCGAGUAGGAGCAGCAGAAGAUAAUGACCGGAAGCAUCUGUUUCUGGACAAAGGCAAUCAGUUUGAACGUGUUCUCGGAAUGCUGUGGUUAGUUGGCGAGGAUCAGCUUAGCUUCUGUACACAACUUAAAGAAGACGUACAGGAAAUCAUUGCGGGAAAUAUCGUACCCACGAAACGGCAGGUUCUACGUUGCCUAAUGAGCUUCUUCGAUCCUUUGGGCCUGUUGAGUUUCCUAUUCGUCCACGGCAAAAUUUUGCUGCAGGAUGUAUGGCGUGCCGGAAUACAAUGGGAUCAAACAAUCAGCAAUGAACAGUGGGAGCGUUGGCAGAAAUGGAUCGCGGUUCUUCGACAUGUAUCUACCAUACAGAUUCCCCGAUGUUAUUUCAUGAACGCCACGGCACAAUACUACAAGGAAGUACAGCUACACAUUUUUGUAGAUGCGAGUGAAGGAGCAUAUGCUGCUGUCGCCUACUUCCGGAUUAUCGACCUGAAUGGGGCACCAAGAUGCGCAUUAGUGGCGGCCAAAACCAAGGUGGCACCGCUUAAGCCGUUAUCGAUACCCCGUCUCGAGCUACAAGCGGCUGUUCUCGGGACCCGCUUAUUACACUUCGUUCUGGAAGCCCAUACCAUAACUGUAAAACAGCGAUACUUAUGGUCAGACUCCACAACAGUUCUGGCGUGGCUGAGAGCAGAUCCUCGAAAGUAUAAGCAGUACGUAGCAUGCAGGAUCGGUGAAGUUCUAAUGGAGACAGAUGCCAGCGAGUGGUGGUGGGUACCAUCAAAGUUGAAUCCGGCGGAUUUGGCAACAAAAUGGGGAAGCGGCCCCACCCUGGACGCUGAUGGGAUAUGGUUUAACGGACCUCCUUUUCUGUUGAAACCCAUCGAAGAGUGGCCAGCGCAGACUACACAUCAGCAAACAGUAGAAGAAGAACUACGUGCAUGUAAUAUGCAUUUGCAAGCCACACCAAUACCUUCAGUAAUUGACUACGAUCGAUUUUCAAGUUGAGAAAGACUCCAUAGAACUACAGCCUACGUACAUAGAUACAUUGCCAACUUGAAACGAACGUGUUACGGCAAGGCGAGGUUAAGCGGGCACUUGACUCAAGAGGAGCUACAGCAGGCUGAAGCAACGCUGAUACGAUUGGCACAGUGGCAAUACUAUCCCGAAGAAAUGUCGGUCCUUACACAGGAUCGUGAGCGUCCACCAUCCGAGCGAAAAGGUUUAGAGAUCAACAGUUCACUGUAUCGUUCUACGCCGUACAUUGACGAGUUUGGCGUUUUGCGGGUUGACGGAAGAAUAGGAGCGGCUAAGCAUGCGGAGGUGGGAAUGAAGUUCCCAUCCAUUCUACCAAGAAGUCAUCGCGUCACGAGUCUCAUACUUCAUGCAUUCCAUCGAAAGUUCAAGCAUGCCAACUUCGAGACGGUUGUGAACGAAAUUCGGCAGCUGUAUCAUGUACCUCGACUCAGAGUGACUGUCAAGAAGAUCAGCAGUGAAUGUUUGAUUUGCAAGUUGCGCAAAGCGGUUCCUCAGAUCCCACGGAUGGCCCCUCUUCCACCGGCUCGUCUAGCAACGUUUGCUAGGCCGUUCACCUACGUAGGAUUGGAUUUCUUCGGACCACUGGUGGUAAAAGUCGGGCGAGGUAAUGCAAAACGAUGGAUUGCUCUCUUCACUUGUUUGACCAUUCGAGCUGUACAUUGUGAAGUAGUUUGUAGUCUAUCGACGGAAGCUUGCGUAAAGUCUAUUCGCCGUUUCGUGUGUCGCCGAGGUGCACCGGCAGAAAUUUACUCAGACAACGGCACCAACUUCCACGGUGCCGAACGUAUAUUGAUGAAGCAAAUUCAGCAGGGAGUUGCUGCAACCAUAACAAGCACGACCACCAAAUGGUUCUUCAUCCCACCAGCGUCACCCCACAUGGGUGGGGCGUGGGAACGUAUGGUGCGUUCAGUUAAGCAGGCAAUGCUGGGCGCCUACAAUUCCGACAGGAAACUGGAUGAUGAAUCUCUUUUGACGUUUGUCUCUGAAGCGGAAAGCAUGGUCAACAGCCGACCACUCACUUAUCUCCCUCUGGACGCAGAGGAAACCGAAGCAUUGACUCCGAAUCAUUUUUUGUUAGGAAGCUCAAGUGGUGUACGACAGCCGGUUGUUGAACCAACUGACAACUCAGCCGCCCUCCAAAAUACUUGGCAUUUGAUCAACCAUCAACUAGACGGCUUCUGGAAACGAUGGAUCCGCGAAAUGUUACCGACCCUAACAAAAAGGACCAAGUGGUUUGGUGAAGUGAAGAUGGUUAGCACUGGAGAUUUGGUGAUGAUCAUAGACGACAGUAAAAGGAACAACUGGAUCAGGGGACGCAUAGUGGAGGUAAUCAAAGGAUGUGACGGACGAGUCCGUCAGGCGGUAGUAAGAACUGCAGGGGGCUUGCUGCGCAGAUCUGUCUCUAAGCUAGCUAUCUUGGACGUCCUGGCUAAUGGUAAAAUUGGAACCGGUGGCCAAUGUUACGGGGGGGAGGAUGUUGCCUCUGGGCACACUGCUCCGAAUCAAACGAACGGAGUGUCGUCGACGCUUAACGAUGGCCUUGACAGGUCAAAAGCAGAUGAGGUCGAUGACGAGGCAAAAGCAUUGAAACCGGCAUGCAGAGAAGACUAGGAGCUAUAGUUAAACGUGAAAUUGCCUCAAAAGAUCAAAAUUAUUAAAUCCUAAUGAUUGAAUUUGAUAUUCUAUCUAGCCUAAAGUGAAUUCGUUAUCCUACAUUAAUCAAACAGUGAGCUCGAGAAUUUGUUAUACUAGUUGGUAAUGAAAUACUAAUUGAAAUCGCAUUUCUAUAAAAUAGGUUAGAAUCUGCAAGUUAGAGUUCUACAUAUUGAAGUCGUGAACUACUAUUACUUUAUUCAAUUAGGUAAAGUGCUAGGUAAAAAUAAUCAUGCAAAUAGUUCUAGAUUAGCUAACGAUACUUUGAUUGCAGUUAAAGCUAAUCCAAUUAGUUGUGUCGGGCAAGGAGGCUGCAAAAACUCCGCCAGUACACCGAAAGUUUUAAAGCUGCGCUAAACCCAAGUACUGCGUGACGCUGCUAACAGCCCGGUGACAGCAUACCCUUGCCCUCUUACAACACAAUGUUUACCAUUUUUUUUAUAGCGAAGUUGUGAGUAUCGAAGAAUUGAACGUUUGUAUUAGUCGAGAAAAAUGUUACAGAAUUUGUUCCAUAUAUUUUUUGCCGGUUUUCGAAAAAUUUGGAUUUUUCCCGGGAUCCCGGGAAAUCCCGGGAUAUGAAAAAUAAAAAUCCCGAAUCCCGGGAUUUUUUUCAGUCCGGGAAACAAGAC